UCGGAUGUGGUGCAUGGUGCACGCUUGCUCGCAGUAUGAUGAUAUUUAGGUGAUGCGGAAGACCUGGGUUCGAUUCCCAGUGUCCGAG
Mycena leptocephala is the source of this 88-nucleotide non-coding RNA. The record is from the annotation of a GenBank genome assembly. Lineage: Eukaryota; Fungi; Basidiomycota; Agaricomycetes; Agaricales; Mycenaceae.